CCUACGGGUGGCAGCAGUGGGGGAUAUUGCACAAUGGAGGAAACUCUGAUGCAGCGACGCCGCGUGAGGGAAGACGGUCUUCGGAUUGUAAACCUCUGUCUUUGGGGAAGAAAAUGACGGUACCCAAAGAGGAAGCUCCGGCUAACUACGUGCCAGCAGCCGCGGUAAUACGUAGGGAGCGAGCGUUGUCCGGAUUUAUUGGGUGUAAAGGGUGCGUAGGCGGACUGGAAAGUCAGCGGUAAAAUCCAGGGGCUCAACCCGUGUCCGCCGUUGAAACUGUUGGACUUGAGUGGGCGAGAAGUAAGUGGAAUUCGUGGUGUAGCGGUGAAAUGCGUAGAUAUCACGCAGAACACCGAUGGCGAAGGCAGCAUACCGGCGCGCGACUGACGCUGAGGCACGAAAGCGUGGGGAGCGAACAGGAUUAGAUACCCGUGUAGUC
This 439-nucleotide ribosomal RNA is filed under the name uncultured bacterium. RNAcentral describes it as "partial 16S ribosomal RNA". It matches the Rfam family "Bacterial small subunit ribosomal RNA", at positions 338 to 795 of the family's 1533-position model. The record is from RNAcentral.